Molecule: ribosomal RNA, 398 nt
Filed under: uncultured bacterium
Lineage: Bacteria
Description: bacterial SSU rRNA
Rfam family: Bacterial small subunit ribosomal RNA
Source: RNAcentral
GGACCGGCUAAUUCCGUGCCAGCAGCCGCGGUAAUACGGAAGGUCCGGGCGUUAUCCGGAUUUAUUGGGUUUAAAGGGAGCGCAGGCGGACUUUUAAGUCAGUUGUGAAAUACGGCGGCUCAACCGUCGGACUGCAGUUGAUACUGGAGGUCUUGAGUGCACACAGGGAUACUGGAAUUCAUGGUGUAGCGGUGAAAUGCUCAGAUAUCAUGAAGAACUCCGAUCGCGAAGGCAGGUAUCCGGGGUGCUACUGACGCUGAGGCUCGAAAGUGCGGGUAUCAAACAGGAUUAGAUACCCUGGUAGUCCGCACAGUAAACGAUGAAUACUCGCGGUUGGCGAUACACAGUCAGCCGCCCAGCGAAAGCGUUAAGUAUUCCACCUGGGGAGUACGCCGGCA